RNAcentral lists this ribosomal RNA (253 nucleotides) under uncultured bacterium. RNAcentral describes it as "partial 16S ribosomal RNA". It matches the Rfam family "Bacterial small subunit ribosomal RNA", at positions 524 to 776 of the family's 1533-position model. The record is from RNAcentral.
UACGUAGGGUGCAAGCGUUAAUCGGAAUUACUGGGCGUAAAGCGUGCGCAGGCGGUUUUGUAAGUCUGUCGUGAAAUCCCCGGGCUCAACCUGGGAAUGGCGAUGGAGACUGCAAGGCUGGAAUCUGGCAGAGGGGGGUAGAAUUCCACGUGUAGCAGUGAAAUGCGUAGAGAUGUGGAGGAAUACCGAUGGCGAAGGCAGCCCCCUGGGCCAACACUGACGCUCAUGCACGAAAGCGUGGGGAGCAAACAGG